This 491-nucleotide ribosomal RNA is filed under the name uncultured bacterium. RNAcentral's name for it is "bacterial SSU rRNA". It matches the Rfam family "Bacterial small subunit ribosomal RNA", at positions 28 to 526 of the family's 1533-position model. The record is from RNAcentral.
AACGAACGUUGGCGGCGUGGAUUAGGCAUGCAAGUCGAACGAAUCCCUGGGGGCUUGCUCUCAGGGGAAAGUGGCGAAAGGGGCAGUAAGGCGUGGGUAACCUACCCUGGGGACUGGGAUAGCCGUCCUAACGGACGGGUAAUACCGGGCGACGUAGCCGAGGGGCAUCUCUUGGCUACCAAAUGAAUUUCGCCCUGGGCGGGGCUCACGUGGUAUUAGCUAGUUGGUGGGGUAACGGCCCACCAAGGCAAAGAUGCCUAGCGGGUGUGAGAGCACGACCCGCGCCACUGGCACUGCGACACUGGCCAGACUCCUACGGGAGGCUGCAGUCGAGGAUCUUCCGCAAUGGGCGAAAGCCUGACGGAGCGACGCCGCGUGGGCGAUGAAGGCCUUCGGGUUGUAAAGCCCUUUUGUACGGGAGGAAGGCGCAAGCUUGACUGUACCGUACGAAUAAGCUCGGGCUAAGUUCGUGCCAGCCGCCGCCGUAAAAC